GUGGGGAAUUUUGGACAAUGGGCGCAAGCCUGAUCCAGCCAUGCCGCGUGCAGGAAGACGCAUCUAUGGUGUGUAAACUGCUUUUGUACGGGAAGAAACACUCCCUCGUGAGGGAGCUUGACGGUACCGUAAGAAUAAGGAUCGGCUAACUCCGUGCCAGCAGCCGCGGUAAUACGGAGGAUCCAAGCGUUAUCCGGAAUCAUUGGGUUUAAAGGGUCCGUAGGCGGUUUAAUAAGUCAGUGGUGAAAGCCCAUCGCUCAACGAUGGAACGGCCAUUGAUACUGUUAGACUUGAAUUACAAGGAAGUAACUAGAAUAUGUAGUGUAGCGGUGAAAUGCUUAGAUAUUACAUGGAAUACCAAUUGCGAAGGCAGGUUACUACUUGUGGAUUGACGCUGAUGGACGAAAGCGUGGGGAGCGAAAAGGAUUAGAUACCCGUGUAGUCC
Molecule: ribosomal RNA, 445 nt
Filed under: uncultured bacterium
Lineage: Bacteria
Description: partial 16S ribosomal RNA
Rfam family: Bacterial small subunit ribosomal RNA
Source: RNAcentral